GCCGGGAUAGCUCAGUUGGUAGAGCAGAGGACUGAAAAUCCUCGUGU
Molecule: transfer RNA, 47 nt
Filed under: Calypogeia muelleriana
Lineage: Eukaryota; Viridiplantae; Streptophyta; Jungermanniopsida; Jungermanniales; Calypogeiaceae
Also listed under: 23 other names
Description: partial tRNA-Phe
Rfam family: tRNA
About the family: Transfer RNA (tRNA) molecules are approximately 80 nucleotides in length.
Source: RNAcentral